CUGGCAAAUUAUCAAAGCCAACUGAUAGCAAAACAAGUUGGGACUCUCCUACAGUGGCAGUUUAAAACUAGGUGUAACUUCACCUAAAACAAAUGAAUAGAGCGGGGGUGUAAGGGGACUACCUAACUAAUUAACCCCUUGAUUAACUCCCAGGCAGAUUACAGCGUUUUGUGGAAAUCAAGGAGGUCUCAAGAAACUUAAAACUGUGCUGGUAUUGAUGUCACUUGAAAAUCUGAUUGUCAACAUCAUAAAAACAGUGCUAGGAAAAGCCACAAACUAUUGCACAAGACCCAGAAGGACUGAAAGUUGGAGGAUUUCUUUCAGGGGAUGUAUUGUUUUCACUGGGGAAGACUGCUCCAAAGCUCCACCAGGAUCCACGUGGGCUGGGACAAUGUGGGUUUCCUACCUGAGCUGGGAAGCUGCAGCCCACAGGAUGGACAUUCCUGUCUCCUCCAGGAGUGCAUCCAGGAGAAGCUCUGGGAAUGUGCACAGGGUUAUCAGACAGACCAUCACUUCCUGCAUCCCAGGGUUAUAAGGACAAGUUCAACUUGCAGCAUCCUUCUCCAUUUCCUCAGCUGGCAUUUAACUUCCAGUUGGAUGCAUCAUCCUCACUCCGUGAGCAGUGUGAAAUGAUUCCAUUCCAGGCACAUCUCCAGGAGGUCUAGCUCUGGCAAUUGGAAUAAGCAAUUUUGGUUUGGAGGAGUUCAGCAGAGAUAAAGACUUGUGCUAUGGGGAAGAAAUUCAGAUCACAACAACAAGGGGUCUGAGCAUUUAUUCCUGCUGGAUUUCUGAAACAAAAGGUGAUGUAAGGAGGAGCAGGAGUGGGAGCUGUUGAGGCUCUGCCUCAGCUCUCUGGGACACUGCUCACCAGCCUCUCCUUUGGGAAUAACAAAUAACAGCAUCCCUUGAUUCUCCUCCAGGAGUUUUGGACUGGUUGCAGCAGGAUUACACAUUGUCCCUGGGUUACAAACAUCCCCACAGAAAAACAGGAUUAUGUGGUCCUCUCACUUUAAACCAUGGGGAAGGACUGGCCCAUAAGAUGAAAGAGACUUUUAUUCCUGGAAACCAGGA
Long non-coding RNA from Passer domesticus (house sparrow), 1071 nucleotides. RefSeq lists it as uncharacterized. NCBI's taxonomy places the organism in Eukaryota, Metazoa, Chordata, Aves, Passeriformes, Passeridae. The record is from RefSeq and is a predicted model, not a curated record. The transcript has 6 exons.